GAACAUAAGCGAAGUUUGUUUCAUCCCUUGGAUUUUCUUGCUGGGGUUUGAAAGAAAAACACUUUAGCUUCGUUAGUGGAGGAGUGUCCUUGAAAACGUAUUUAUGUUUUCCAAGUGAUUUGUCACUUGGUAGGUGUAAUUAGCUCGCUCCCUGGGCCUCUCUCUUCUUGGUUUUUAUUCUUGAAGGGCCACAAUAUCCAGAGAAUAGGAGCUGGUUUCCUGGGCCCCCCUGGCUGGCUGACACCCAGUCUUACGGGUGGAUGUGAAUGAAGCACCCGGAGGAGAAUCCUGGCCUCCGUUUCGGUCGCGAGCCCCGCUGUGAUGCUGGCGCGUGCUAAGGACCGUCACCUCAAAGAAAAGAGAACAGCUGCAGACUGAAAGAUGGUGAAAGCUACAAGGCAUUUGAGGACUAACCAUUGUAACAAUAGCUGCCAACCCCUCCUCUUUGUAACUGAAAUGGAUUUGCAACAACAUUUGUCGGAUGAACAAACAAAGCGCCUGACUUAAAGAACACUACAAAUUAAAAUUGAGAAGACAUCACCCUUCCUGGACGGUAUCAGGGAUGACUAAACGAAGGUAAAAUUUAGAAAAUUUUAAGGAUUGGGACAAAAUGGAUGGAGGUGAGCAGAGCAAGGGAGACUAACGGGCCACGAGCCUCGCCCAUCAAGAUAGGAAAGUGAUUUGUCUUCAUCACCAUUUUCCUAUUUCCGUUGACCAGGGCGAGUAUUCCUCACCUGCGCGUUGGUUUUCUAUCUGCUCUGUGAUUUGGGAAAUGGGACCCAUUCCUGGUGAACUCCUCAGAGCUGAGGAAGGUAGCAGUUUCCUGACUUUGACGUUGCCCCCAAUGAAAUGGAAAACCCUUUCCAGUGAUGUUCACGUGACCCGCUUUCUCCAGACGAGGAAACUGAGACCCAAGAAGGCUAAGACAAGCGUUCAAGAUCACAUCUACAGGGAGGAAUGGAAGGAGACCCGAAACCCGGGGUUUUGCCACUCCCCGGGGACCAAUCUGUGAUCCUUUCUGAACUAUUACAUCUGUGGCACAGCCACAGGCCAAGGGGAUGGGCUGCACUGGAUUUCUGUCCUGCUCGGACGCUUCCCAGCUGUGCCACCCCGGACACACCAGUUCCUGCCACAGGGGGUUGUUCCAAGGACGUGUGAAACGCCGAACGCCCACGUGCAUUACACACCAGCCGUCCUGCAGUCACAGUGCUGGACAGUUGGGGUGCCGACUGUCAGGUGUGUCCCAACCCCUCCAUGCACAUCAUUGUAUCUAAAGGUCGCGACCGUCCUGUAAAUUACUCAUUUUAUCUCCUUUUCCCUGAUGAGAGGAAUGAAGUGCGGAGAGGUCAGGGAAUUCACCUGAGAUCACACAGCCAGAGGCACAAGUAGCUGGGAAGCCAGGCAAUCCGACUGCUCAGGCUGCCUCUAUCGCGUGCUCUUUUUACACGAUGUCACGAGUUCAACCCACAUUUGUGGAAUAUUUAUUACGUGUCUAGUGUUGUGUUGGGCACUGAGGCUACGAUGGUGAGCAAAAAAUCAGAUGUGGUUUCUGGUCUCUGAUACUCCAGAAAGGUAGACUGCAAUCAAAUGUGUGCCAAUAUAUGAUAAACGUGGAAUUGCAACUAUGGAAAGAGUUUAUGGAGGAAAGGAGCGUGGGGCUCUACGAACCUGUAAUAGGAGUCUUGACCCAGUUGGGUAAGGCAGGGAGGACUUCCUGGAGGAAGUGACAAUUCAUCUGAGAUCUAAGGGGUGGGUAGGAGUGAGGUAAGUAGCUGGUGGUGUCGACGGUGGGGAUGGGGUGUGUAAGGACAUUCCAUGCAGAGGGAAUCUAAGUAUGGAGGCUCCUGGCAGGAGGAAGCGUGAACAGGUGCGUAGAGCAUGGCGGAAGGCAGCACUGGCUACAUAAUUUGCAGGGCCCAGUGCCAAAUGAAAAUGUGGGUCCCUUAUCACAAAUUGUUAAGAAUUUCAGGGUAGUGAGAAGAGGUACCUGCUAUUGUACGUGGGGCCCUAUGUGGCUGCAGACAUGACAUGCCCAUGAAGCCAGUCCCAACCAGAGAGAAGGCUGGGGAAGGAGUUGGGGCAAGUCGUAGAGCCGUCAAAGCCAAGUUUAGGAUUCUGUCUCUAUCGAUCUGUUUCCAGAGGGUCGCUUCUGGGUAGAGAAGCGUUUAGAGGGGAGUCAGCUGGGUGAGCUCUUAACCCUGAGGGCUCCGGCGGGUCCUCGACCUCCCCAGCCUGGCCAGGUCUUCUCCUGUGUGGGAAAGGGAGAGUGAUGCCCACCCACAUGAUGAUCAGAAUUUGUGAACAAGCGCCCUGACCUUGGAGCCUUCUCAUGGCUAAUCUGCAUGGGCCUGACACAAAGGGUCCACGAUGGGGGCUGGUAGAUGAGCGUGACUCCCUCCAAUGUCCCAAGCCAAGGAGGUAGGGGGGCAGGUUGUGUGUGGGAGUUUCUAAAGAGCUUUUUAAAAAGGGGGACCCCGGAGUUUAGGACGUUGCAAACCAAAUCCCCUUUUGCUUUUGUGUUCAAUUUCAAUGCAAAAUGGCUAAAGUAUUUAUCCAAAUAAAGCAAAACCAGCCAGAACUGUCUCUUCGGAGCCACAGAGAACUUUUCUGAGCGCCAAAAUCAAUGACUUUACCCCCGCCUUCCCCCAACCUGGGGUGUUGUAUGCAGACAGACAUUUUACUGUGACAAUUAUAAUAGCUCAGUUGGAAAUUACCGUCUGGCUAGGCAGCUGAAUCUGUGCCUGGAUCCAGCUUCAAACACAGGUAUCGGGGGCAAAUUAGCAGCGACAUCAAGUUUUGGAUUUUAUAAAAAGUGCCAGGUUGGGAGAAGAGAAUUGUUCCUGCCGCUGAGGGUGAAGGUUAAUAUUCCGGGCCUUGGCUGCCCGUGUCCGGGGCUCCCCUACCCCACACGGCAACUCUAAAGACCGCCAGGCACACUGAAGCUCAUUAUAUUUUCUCUCUGCAUAGAACUCCCCCGCAACGCCCAUGCUCUCUUUGAUUGCCAUGGAGAAGGACCAGCUAUGGGUCCCAGGAUGUUGGAGAGCUGUCCUUCCCUGCCCCGUGGCCCCCUCACUCAGAGGAAGGGCCCUGCCUCCUCCCAGGGAUUUCUGGGUCUGGAUGGCCAAAGACCCGGGUGUCUUCGGGGCCUCGUAGUUUAGGUUAAUUACGCAGAGGGCAAGGCAUUGGCGCCUCCUCUCUGGGAUGGUUGGCAAACUCGACUAGACUCAAAAUGAACCGCUUUGAUUCCAUCUGCAAAAUUAGAUCAGAUUUGAUAAAGUAAAGAUGUACCCUUUGAAGUAUUCCCUAUCAACAUAAGUGCUAAGAACACUUGAGUGAAGGAAUUUGAGCAGUUUUGAAAGCAGCAGCAUAGAAGCUUCAGUGAGGAUUGCAGCUAAGGGCAUGCCCAGAAGGCACGGGACUAACUGCAUCUAUCCUGCAGGCAAUAAGCAAUUGCUAAAGAUUCCAGACUUCUCAAAGUUCAGAGUUCAGCAUGGAAAAACUUUGUUGAACUUGUGAUAGGCUGGGCUCUGUGGUUUGCAUUCUGUUUUCAGAGGCUCUCAGAGUCCCGGCAGUUUUUGUGUUUCUGUGCCGCCUCGGCACGGCAGGAACAAGGCUGGGUUUUUUUUCGCUUUAGCUUCCACGCAGAGGUAGGAAUUAAGCCUUCAUAUGUUUUCCCGGGGUAUGGUCCCUCCAGAGCUACAGGGCAGGACAUCAGUGGGUGAAAAGUGUCUGUUUAUCCAAAUGAAAGCCAGAAGAUCUGUGUCAAAGCCCAGCUCUGUCACCGUCUAGCUGUGUAACCUUGAUGGAGUCCUUCCGUGUGUCCAAGCCUUCGUUUCUUCAUCCUUCUGACAUUCCACUCCGGCUACCGGUUACGGUCCCUUCCAUGUGCCAAUAAUACCUACCUCUCCAUUGAGCUCUACCCAAACUCCGUUAUUAAGCCCAUGGUAGGUGCUGGGGAGAAGAUGCUACAUUAAUCACCGCGUGGUCCCUUCUGGUCCAGCAGGGGACAGACAAACCUGAACGAGGGCUGUAAGAGAAAGUGUCGGGUGUGGCAAUAGGUGCACGUACAAAGGGCUAUAGGAGCUCAGAGGAGGGAGCAAUUGAUUCCACCAGGGGGGGAGCCAAGGAAAGGCACAGAGGCGAGAGAAGAGGCUCAGAGCUGAUGAGCUAAUGAACAAGAAAGCAUUUUGCAAUGUGCGGAGGGUUAUAAAAGGUACGCUCUUAUUCCGAUUUCGGGUAUUACGAAACAGCAUGCAAUCUGGAUUCUUUUCUCUUAGCUUGGACUGGAUUGAUGGUAACUUGGGAAGCUCAAAAGGACGAAAGGAUAUAGUAAGGGCUGGAAUCAAAUAACCAAUGUUGAAGGGAAAUUUAAAAAAAUCCACGAAAUCUUGAGAGAGGCCAGUGGGAGGGUACCUCACACUGACUUGCUGCCGUUUGGGCUCCCGAGGUUGGGGGAGGCGGCUUGCGUGCUGUAUCCUGGAGGUCUCGCCUACCUUGAGAUGAGCUGGAGGUCCAGAUCUUGGCUCCUGUUGUUGGGAAACCCAGGGAGGCCCCGUAAGUGCACCAUUUCCCCCUGUAUUAUGGGGUGUAAGAGUAGUGAGAAUAGGCAUCCUUGCCUGGGUCCUGAUCUUGGGUGGAAAGAAUUCAGUCUGCCACCAUUAAAUAUGACGUUAGGUGUAGGUGUUUUGUAGAUGUUCUUUACCAAGCUGAGAAGCUUCCCUCUAUUCCUAGUUUGCUGAGA
Long non-coding RNA from Felis catus (domestic cat), 4741 nucleotides. RefSeq lists it as uncharacterized. Lineage: Eukaryota; Metazoa; Chordata; Mammalia; Carnivora; Felidae. The record is from RefSeq and is a predicted model, not a curated record. The transcript is spliced from 5 exons.